CCUACGGUAUUCCUCCUUGGGGAAUAUUGGACAAUGGGGGGAACCCUGAUCCAGCCAUGCCGCGUGUGUGAAGAAGGCCCUCGGGUUGUAAAGCACUUUCAGUGAGGAAGAACGCCUGGUGGUUAAUACCCAUCAGGAAAGACAUCACUCACAGAAGAAGCACCGGCUAACUCCGUGCCAGCAGCCGCGGUAAUACGGAGGGUGCGAGCGUUAAUCGGAAUUACUGGGCGUAAAGCGCGCGUAGGUGGCUUGAUAAGCCGGUUGUGAAAGCCCCGGGCUCAACCUGGGAACGGCAUCCGGAACUGUCAAGCUAGAGUGCAGGAGAGGAAGGUAGAAUUCCCGGUGUAGCGGUGAAAUGCGUAGAGAUCGGGAGGAAUACCAGUGGCGAAGGCGGCCUUCUGGACUGACACUGACACUGAGGUGCGAAAGCGUGGGUAGCAAACAGGAUUAGAUACCCCGGUAGUC
This 465-nucleotide ribosomal RNA is filed under the name Vreelandella stevensii. RNAcentral's name for it is "partial 16S ribosomal RNA". It matches the Rfam family "Bacterial small subunit ribosomal RNA", at positions 338 to 795 of the family's 1533-position model. The record is from RNAcentral. Lineage: Bacteria; Pseudomonadati; Pseudomonadota; Gammaproteobacteria; Oceanospirillales; Halomonadaceae.